Molecule: non-coding RNA, 219 nt
Organism: Cinara cedri
Lineage: Eukaryota; Metazoa; Arthropoda; Insecta; Hemiptera; Aphididae
Source: the annotation of a GenBank genome assembly
GCCAGGUUCAGAUAAGUUGAAGUUUUAACAUCAGCCGUUAUUCAAAUUCAUUCCAUCCAAAACGGGGUGAAAAGCUUUCUGAGUCGAUGGGAUCAUUCAUUGAGUUAUUUGUGUUCCAUUCUUCUUUAUCUAAACUGGAGCUGGGAUCACGUCAUAAUACAACUCCUAGUCGAUUGUUCUGGCUUUGUUGGAGAGAAUAAUGUUGGCUCUUCGGUAGUG